GACGAACGCUGGCGGCGCGCUUAACACAUGCAAGUCGAACGGAAAGGCCUGCUUUCCCUUGUGGAUUGCGGGUACUCGAGUGGCGAACGGGUGAGUAACACGUGAGUGAUCUGCCCCCAACUUGGGUAUAAGCCUGGGAAACUGGGUCUAAUUCCCGAUAGGACUGCAGGGUGGUGCCUGUGGUGGAAAACGAUUUUCUAGUGGUUGGGGAUGAGCUCGCGGCCUAUCAGCUUGUUGGUGGGGUAAUGGCCUACCAAGGCGGCGACGGGUAGCCGGCCUGAGAGGGUGGACGGCCACAUUGGGACUGAGAUACGGCCCAGACUCCUACGGGAGGCAGCAGUGGGGAAUAUUGCACAACGGGCGGAAGCCUGAUGCAGCGACGCCGCGUGGGGGAUGACGGCCUUCGGGUUGUAAACUCCUUUCGACUGCGAGGAAGCCACCUGGUUGGAAGGGUGGUGACGGUAGUGGUAGAAGAAGCACCGGCUAACUACGUG
RNAcentral lists this ribosomal RNA (494 nucleotides) under uncultured bacterium. RNAcentral describes it as "partial 16S ribosomal RNA". It matches the Rfam family "Bacterial small subunit ribosomal RNA", at positions 28 to 507 of the family's 1533-position model. The record is from RNAcentral.